RNAcentral lists this ribosomal RNA (478 nucleotides) under uncultured bacterium. Its description in RNAcentral is "partial 16S ribosomal RNA". It matches the Rfam family "Bacterial small subunit ribosomal RNA", at positions 28 to 506 of the family's 1533-position model. The record is from RNAcentral.
GACGAACGCUGGCGGCGCGCUUAACACAUGCAAGUCGAGCGAUGAAAUUUCGACAGAUCCCUUCGGGGUGAAGAUGAAAUGGAUUAGCGGCGGACGGGUGAGUAACACGUGAGUAACCUGCCUUUGACAUUGGGAUAGCCUCGGGAAACUGGGAUUAAUACCAAAUGACACUAACUGAUCACAUGAUCAAUUAGUCAAAGAAAUUCGGUCAAAGAUGGACUCGCGGCUGAUUAGCUAGUUGGUGAGGUAACGGCCCACCAAGGCGACGAUCAGUAGCCGGCCUGAGAGGGUGAUCGGCCACAUUGGAACUGAGACACGGUCCAAACUCCUACGGGAGGCAGCAGUGGGGAAUAUCGCACAAUGGGGGAAACCCUGAUGCAGCGACGCCGCGUGAGCGAAGAAGGCCUUCGGGUCGUAAAGCUCUUUUAUGAGGGAAGAUAAUGACGGUACCUCAAGAAAAAGCCCCGGCUAACUACGU